GACGAACGCUGGCGGCGUGCUUAACACAUGCAAGUCGAACGGAAAGGCCCUGCUUUUGUGGGGUGCUCGAGUGGCGAACGGGUGAGUAACACGUGAGUAACCUGCCCUUGACUUUGGGAUAACUUCAGGAAACUGGGGCUAAUACCGACAUAACGCAACCGAAUCGCAUGUUUGGUUGUCAAAGGGCUGCAAGGCUUGCUUGAAGAUGGACUCGCGUCCGAUUAGGUAGUUGGUGAGGGCAACGGCUCACCAAGCCGACGAUCGGUAGCCGGACUGAGAGGUUGAACGGCCACAUUGGAACUGAGAUACGGUCCAG
This 316-nucleotide ribosomal RNA is filed under the name uncultured bacterium. Its description in RNAcentral is "bacterial SSU rRNA". It matches the Rfam family "Bacterial small subunit ribosomal RNA", at positions 28 to 334 of the family's 1533-position model. The record is from RNAcentral.